This 336-nucleotide ribosomal RNA is filed under the name Neoraputia alba. RNAcentral's name for it is "eukaryotic LSU rRNA". The stretch from base 257 to 336 matches the Rfam family "Eukaryotic large subunit ribosomal RNA", at positions 1 to 80 of the family's 3401-position model. Lineage: Eukaryota; Viridiplantae; Streptophyta; Magnoliopsida; Sapindales; Rutaceae. The record is from RNAcentral.
UUGCGCCCCAAGCCUCUAGGCCGAGGGCACGUCUGCCUGGGUGUCACGCAUUGUUGCCCCACCCCUCCCCCUCGUUCUCUUGGGAGGAAGGCGGUGAGGGCGGAUAUUGGCCUCCCGUGUGCUCUAGCUCGCGGUUGGCCUAAAUUUUAGUCCUCAGCUAACGGUGCUGCGACGAUCGGUAGUGUUAUAAUACCUCUCGAGAACGCGUCGAGCACCGUCUGGGACACAUGUACCCAAGCGCUAUGCGCUCGCUUUGCGACCCCAGGUCAGGCGGGACUACCCGCUGAGUUUAAGCAUAUCAAUAAGCGGAGGAAAAGAAACUUACCAGGAUUCCCC